UUUUUCUAAUUUGAAAUUGUCAAACAAUUUGAAUGGUUUUCAUUGUGCAAUUUGGCUUAAUGUUUAUUAUUGUUGAACUAGGUAUCAUUUCAUGUUCUAAUAACAAACAUUAAGGUUGUUUGGAGACCAAGUUAACUGUGUUAGUUAUGCAAACAGAAUACUCUCUUUGGGCAAAUCUGAGAAGACGAUACCUCUUCUUGAAAAGAGUCUCUCCGCAUCUAUGUAUAUUAGUGUAGGCAAUGAAAGCAUGCAAAAGCUUUUCAUCCCUCAUUCCAUUUUGAAGCCUAAAGAAGCACAUUAACUAUUUUGAGGCAAUACCAUGCAAUUUGAAGCAAGUGGACUUCUGGCUGUGCUUGUGUCUUUACAUGAACUUGGAGUCGAAGCCAUGGAGCCGAUUCGAGAUUGAGUCCGGGAAUGAGAAGCGUGAACAACUUUACCUCUGGGAGACAAGUGAGCUUGCUCUAAUACCUUGUUCUGAAGCUCUUGUGGAUAAUCUCUCAUGCAACCAAUUCGAGGUUUGAUUUAGGAACCAUGAAUUCCUCUUCUGAUAAAAAGGAUUCUUCAGCUGUUUCGUAGCCGUCGUCCGAGGGAGAAUCCGGAAUGCGAGCUCUGCAACUAGGUGGAAGUGUUUCCUUCUUGAAUAUGUCAAACACAUUGCUUCUUUCUGGUAUUUGAAGUAUGGUCCUUAGAAUCUUCUUGAAGACUGAUGCAUUUGUCCUUGGAAGAUAAUGGCCACUGUGAGGCCAAACUGCCUAUAAGUUAAGGGGAAAGGAGAAAAAGGAGAUAUAGCACGUUAGGAUGAUGAAUGACGUGAAAGGCACGAGCACUUAAAAGGGAUAUCUCAGAGGAUGGAUGGGCUUACAGGACCAAGAUAUUUGAUACAUUGUUGAUGAAGCUUAAGUCUGGGGCAUCUCUCAAGGUUCACCUCUUUCCCUUCUCCUAUAUCAAGCCUAAUAUAAAGAGGAUUGUUAGAGUUAAUGAUAUUUAUUUUCGUUUGUUAAGCAUAUUUAGAAAUUAGAUACCCAUUUUAUCUUACCAAUAGAAAAAGGGCUGUUUGCUAUCACAGUGGAGCCAUUUGACGUAGUAAAAUUGAAGAUUAUGGCCGUAGCGAUGUCUAGGAUCAAUCUGUUUACGAGAAAGAAACACUAUCACCUAAAAGAAGACAUUAUAGUCCUAUUCAAACCAUGUCUCGAGAGGGGACUUACUGCCUCGAGCCAAUGCUGUAAAGCAAGUUUCCUGGCUUUUUCAUCCUUUGACAAACCUUUCCCUACCUACGGAAGAAGUUUGUGUUAAGAAUGCACAUUAAAGGUUGAAUAUAUUAUAACUAAAAGUUUUUGGAUCAA
Molecule: non-coding RNA, 1343 nt
Organism: Benincasa hispida (wax gourd)
Lineage: Eukaryota; Viridiplantae; Streptophyta; Magnoliopsida; Cucurbitales; Cucurbitaceae
Source: RefSeq, a predicted model, not a curated record